RNAcentral lists this long non-coding RNA (758 nucleotides) under Nicotiana tabacum (common tobacco). RNAcentral's name for it is "long non-coding RNA (NTAB_LNC011882)". The record is from RNAcentral. Lineage: Eukaryota; Viridiplantae; Streptophyta; Magnoliopsida; Solanales; Solanaceae.
AGCUUAAGGCUUACAACAGUCUGUUUUAGGAGGCAAACCCAUGCAACGAAUUUGCUUUCUUAAGAAAAUCAAAGUCGUUGUUUCUUCUACCAAUGUUACAAAUGUAUAGUUUUACAGACGCGAAUUUAGGAUUUGAACAUCAUGAAUGGCAACGGAACUUACUAACCACUUGAGUUGGGUGUAUAUGAAAUUUAGUAUUUGUAUAUAUUUAGUAGAUUUCUCAACACACGUACGAAAUGUUAUACUGUCUUCAAAGAAGCUGAAAAAAUUUACUUGUCACACAAAUAUCUUCUAAAACUUCAAAAGAAACCAAAAACAAAUAAACACAACACAAGAAUAUAAGUUCCCACCAUCAGCCAAAUUCAGCUUCACCAUAAGUUUACCAGUCUAAUAUAUCAGCAAUCUAUACCGCACACAGCUGACUAACGAUCAGCUUGGGCACGUUUAUGCAUCCACUCAUAGCUGAAGUAUCAGUGUCUCGAUAGCCUCCUAACCCUGCAAUAUUAGCUCAUGUAAGUCCCCUACUAUAUCAAAAAUGAAGCAGCCAGACACUUAUUAAACCUUACCGAGGAGAACGAGACCGGCAAAUGGAACGAGAAAGCGAGUGUUAACUAGAGUAAGAGCGCGACGGUGAAUGUGAGCGUGAGUGAGAGCGAGUCCGCGACCGUGAGCGGUAUCUACGAGAACUCCUUUCUCGGAUAGGACUCCGGCUAAGUCGGUGCCUUCACCCAUAGUACAUAAUUCAGACAUGAACAGUG